AGAGUUUGAUCCUGGCUCAGGAUGAACGCUAGCUACAGGCUUAACACAUGCAAGUCGAGGGGCAGCAUGGUCUUAGCUUGCUAAGACUGAUGGCGACCGGCGCACGGGUGAGUAACACGUAUCCAACCUGCCGUCUACUCUUGGACAGCCUUCUGAAAGGAAGAUUAAUACAAGAUGGCAUCAUGAGUCCGCAUGUUCACAUGAUUAAAGGUAUUCCGGUAGACGAUGGGGAUGCGUUCCAUUAGAUAGUAGGCGGGGUAACGGCCCACCUAGUCUUCGAUGGAUAGGGGUUCUGAGAGGAAGGUCCCCCACAUUGGAACUGAGACACGGUCCAAACUCCUACGGGAGGCAGCAGUGAGGAAUAUUGGUCAAUGGGCGAGAGCCUGAACCAGCCAAGUAGCGUGAAGGAUGACUGCCCUAUGGGUUGUAAACUUCUUUUAUAAAGGAAUAAAGUCGGGUAUGGAUACCCGUUUGCAUGUACUUUAUGAAUAAGGAUCGGCUAACUCCGUGCCAGCAGCCGCGGU
Molecule: ribosomal RNA, 524 nt
Filed under: uncultured Bacteroides sp.
Lineage: Bacteria; Pseudomonadati; Bacteroidota; Bacteroidia; Bacteroidales; Bacteroidaceae
Description: bacterial SSU rRNA
Rfam family: Bacterial small subunit ribosomal RNA
Source: RNAcentral